Molecule: long non-coding RNA, 318 nt
Organism: Neltuma alba
Lineage: Eukaryota; Viridiplantae; Streptophyta; Magnoliopsida; Fabales; Fabaceae
Exons: 3
Source: RefSeq, a predicted model, not a curated record
AUGGGAUUUUAUUUAUCCAAAGGAUAUUUCCCAGCAAGUGAAUGGCCAUGAUUGCGGUGUGUUCGUACUGACAUAUAUGGCCUCCAUUAUUAUGUGUGGGGCAAUCGUACCUUUUUCUACGGAGGAAAUUUGUGGCAUUCGGGAUCGUGUGCUGGUAGAGUUAUCAAAAGGCCAAUUAGUUGGAUUUUGACGUUCAAGGGACAGCCGGCCGGAUUUUGACAUGCUUUAUUAUUGUUCAAAAAGGAGAGAGAGAAAAGCCCUAGUAGAAACUUGGACUGAAAAUGUUACAAGAUCGGGUUCUAGGAUUUAAGCAAUUGU